UGGGGAAUAUUGGACAAUGGGCGAAAGCCUGAUCCAGCCAUGCCGCGUGUGUGAAGAAGGUCUUCGGAUUGUAAAGCACUUUAAGUUGGGAGGUAGGGCAGUAAGCGAAUACCUUGCUGUUUUUACGUUACCGACAGAAUAAGCACCGGCUAACUCUGUGCCAGCAGCCGCGGUAAUACAUAGGGUGCAAGCGUUAAUCGGAAUUACUGGGCGUAAAGCGCGCGUAGGUGGUUCGUUAAGUUGAAUGUGAAAGCCCCGGGCUCAACCUGGGAACAGCAUCCAAAACUGGCGAGCUCGAGUAGGGCAGAGGGUGGAGGAAUUUCCUGUGUAGCGGUGAAAGGCGUAGAUAUAGGAAGGAACACCAGUGGCGAAGGCGACCACCUGGGCUCAUACUGACGCUGAGGUGCGAAAGCGUGGGGAGCAAACAGG
RNAcentral lists this ribosomal RNA (429 nucleotides) under Pseudomonadota bacterium. RNAcentral's name for it is "Proteobacteria bacterium partial 16S ribosomal RNA". It matches the Rfam family "Bacterial small subunit ribosomal RNA", at positions 355 to 776 of the family's 1533-position model. Lineage: Bacteria; Pseudomonadati; Pseudomonadota. The record is from RNAcentral.